RNAcentral lists this ribosomal RNA (492 nucleotides) under uncultured bacterium. RNAcentral describes it as "partial 16S ribosomal RNA". It matches the Rfam family "Bacterial small subunit ribosomal RNA", at positions 29 to 507 of the family's 1533-position model. The record is from RNAcentral.
AGUGAACGCUGGCGGUAGGCCUAACACAUGCAAGUCGAACGGCAGCACAGUAAGAGCUUGCUCUUACGGGUGGCGAGUGGCGGACGGGUGAGGAAUACAUCGGAAUCUACUUUUUCGUGGGGGAUAACGUAGGGAAACUUACGCUAAUACCGCAUACGACCUACGGGUGAAAGCAGGGGAUCUUCGGACCUUGCGCGAUUGAAUGAGCCGAUGUCGGAUUAGCUAGUUGGCGGGGUAAAGGCCCACCAAGGCGACGAUCCGUAGCUGGUCUGAGAGGAUGAUCAGCCACACUGGAACUGAGACACGGUCCAGACUCCUACGGGAGGCAGCAGUGGGGAAUAUUGGACAAUGGGCGCAAGCCUGAUCCAGCCAUACCGCGUGGGUGAAGAAGGCCUUCGGGUUGUAAAGCCCUUUUGUUGGGAAAGAAAAGCAGCAGGGUAACACCCAGCUGUUCUGACGGUACCCAAAGAAUAAGCACCGGCUCACUUCGUG